RNAcentral lists this ribosomal RNA (16 nucleotides) under Paramyrothecium roridum. RNAcentral's name for it is "partial 28S ribosomal RNA". Lineage: Eukaryota; Fungi; Ascomycota; Sordariomycetes; Hypocreales; Stachybotryaceae. The record is from RNAcentral.
AAAACACCCCACUUCU